AGCGUACACGGUGGAUGCCCUGGCAGUCAGAGGCGAUGAAGGACGUGCUAAUCUGCGAUAAGCGUCGGUAAGGUGAUAUGAACCGUUAUAACCGGCGAUUUCCGAAUGGGGAAACCCAGUGUGAUUCGUCACACUAUCAUUAACUGAAUCCAUAGGUUAAUGAGGCGAACCGGGGGAACUGAAACAUCUAAGUACCCCGAGGAAAAGAAAUCAACCGAGAUUCCCCCAGUAGCGGCGAGCGAACGGGGAGCAGCCCAGAGCCUGAAUCAGUGUGUGUGUUAGUGGAAGCGUCUGGAAAGGCGUGCGAUACAGGGUGACAGCCCCGUACACAAAAAUGCACAUAUUGUGAGCUCGAUGAGUAGGGCGGGACACGUGGUAUCCUGUCUGAAUAUGGGGGGACCAUCCUCCAAGGCUAAAUACUCCUGACUGACCGAUAGUGAACCAGUACCGUGAGGGAAAGGCGAAAAGAACCCCGGCGAGGGGAGUGAAAAAGAACCUGAAACCGUGUACGUACAAGCAGUGGGAGCACAGAGCAAUCUGUGUGACUGCGUACCUUUUGUAUAAUGGGUCAGCGACUUAUAUUCUGUAGCAAGGUUAACCGAAUAGGGGAGCCGAAGGGAAACCGAGUCUUAACUGGGCGUUAAGUUGCAGGGUAUAGACCCGAAACCCGGUGAUCUAGCCAUGGGCAGGUUGAAGGUUGGGUAACACUAACUGGAGGACCGAACCGACUAAUGUUGAAAAAUUAGCGGAUGACUUGUGGCUGGGGGUGAAAGGCCAAUCAAACCGGGAGAUAGCUGGUUCUCCCCGAAAGCUAUUUAGGUAGCGCCUCGUGAAUUCAUCUCCGGGGGUAGAGCACUGUUUCGGCAAGGGGGUCAUCCCGACUUACCAACCCGAUGCAAACUGCGAAUACCGGAGAAUGUUAUCACGGGAGACACACGGCGGGUGCUAACGUCCGUCGUGAAGAGGGAAACAACCCAGACCGCCAGCUAAGGUCCCAAAGUCAUGGUUAAGUGGGAAACGAUGUGGGAAGGCCCAGACAGCCAGGAUGUUGGCUUAGAAGCAGCCAUCAUUUAAAGAAAGCGUAAUAGCUCACUGGUCGAGUCGGCCUGCGCGGAAGAUGUAACGGGGCUAAACCAUGCACCGAAGCUGCGGCAGCGACGCUUAUGCGUUGUUGGGUAGGGGAGCGUUCUGUAAGCCUGUGAAGGUGUGCUGUGAGGCAUGCUGGAGGUAUCAGAAGUGCGAAUGCUGACAUAAGUAACGAUAAAGCGGGUGAAAAGCCCGCUCGCCGGAAGACCAAGGGUUCCUGUCCAACGUUAAUCGGGGCAGGGUGAGUCGACCCCUAAGGCGAGGCCGAAAGGCGUAGUCGAUGGGAAACAGGUUAAUAUUCCUGUACUUGGUGUUACUGCGAAGGGGGGACGGAGAAGGCUAUGUUGGCCGGGCGACGGUUGUCCCGGUUUAAGCGUGUAGGCUGGUUUUCCAGGCAAAUCCGGAAAAUCAAGGCUGAGGCGUGAUGACGAGGCACUACGGUGCUGAAGCAACAAAUGCCCUGCUUCCAGGAAAAGCCUCUAAGCAUCAGGUAACAUCAAAUCGUACCCCAAACCGACACAGGUGGUCAGGUAGAGAAUACCAAGGCGCUUGAGAGAACUCGGGUGAAGGAACUAGGCAAAAUGGUGCCGUAACUUCGGGAGAAGGCACGCUGAUAUGUAGGUGAAGUCCCUCGCGGAUGGAGCUGAAAUCAGUCGAAGAUACCAGCUGGCUGCAACUGUUUAUUAAAAACACAGCACUGUGCAAACACGAAAGUGGACGUAUACGGUGUGACGCCUGCCCGGUGCCGGAAGGUUAAUUGAUGGGGUUAGCGCAAGCGAAGCUCUUGAUCGAAGCCCCGGUAAACGGCGGCCGUAACUAUAACGGUCCUAAGGUAGCGAAAUUCCUUGUCGGGUAAGUUCCGACCUGCACGAAUGGCGUAAUGAUGGCCAGGCUGUCUCCACCCGAGACUCAGUGAAAUUGAACUCGCUGUGAAGAUGCAGUGUACCCGCGGCAAGACGGAAAGACCCCGUGAACCUUUACUAUAGCUUGACACUGAACAUUGAGCCUUGAUGUGUAGGAUAGGUGGGAGGCUUUGAAGUGUGGACGCCAGUCUGCAUGGAGCCGACCUUGAAAUACCACCCUUUAAUGUUUGAUGUUCUAACGUUGACCCGUAAUCCGGGUUGCGGACAGUGUCUGGUGGGUAGUUUGACUGGGGCGGUCUCCUCCUAAAGAGUAACGGAGGAGCACGAAGGUUGGCUAAUCCUGGUCGGACAUCAGGAGGUUAGUGCAAUGGCAUAAGCCAGCUUGACUGCGAGCGUGACGGCGCGAGCAGGUGCGAAAGCAGGUCAUAGUGAUCCGGUGGUUCUGAAUGGAAGGGCCAUCGCUCAACGGAUAAAAGGUACUCCGGGGAUAACAGGCUGAUACCGCCCAAGAGUUCAUAUCGACGGCGGUGUUUGGCACCUCGAUGUCGGCUCAUCACAUCCUGGGGCUGAAGUAGGUCCCAAGGGUAUGGCUGUUCGCCAUUUAAAGUGGUACGCGAGCUGGGUUUAGAACGUCGUGAGACAGUUCGGUCCCUAUCUGCCGUGGGCGCUGGAGAACUGAGGGGGGCUGCUCCUAGUACGAGAGGACCGGAGUGGACGCAUCACUGGUGUUCGGGUUGUCAUGCCAAUGGCACUGCCCGGUAGCUAAAUGCGGAAGAGAUAAGUGCUGAAAGCAUCUAAGCACGAAACUUGCCCCGAGAUGAGUUCU
Molecule: ribosomal RNA, 2775 nt
Filed under: Escherichia coli
Lineage: Bacteria; Pseudomonadati; Pseudomonadota; Gammaproteobacteria; Enterobacterales; Enterobacteriaceae
Description: bacterial LSU rRNA
Rfam family: Bacterial large subunit ribosomal RNA
Source: RNAcentral